Nomascus leucogenys (northern white-cheeked gibbon) is the source of this 1105-nucleotide long non-coding RNA. RefSeq lists it as uncharacterized. The record is from RefSeq and is a predicted model, not a curated record. The transcript has 2 exons. NCBI's taxonomy places the organism in Eukaryota, Metazoa, Chordata, Mammalia, Primates, Hylobatidae.
GGCUUCUCCGCUCCCCAAGGGCGAAGUUCUGGGACGCACGGAAGACCACUGAGCCUCCGCCGGCCACUCGGCCAUCCAAAAGAGAGCGCGCACCUCCCUCUCGUGCUCGCUCUCGCGCCUUCGGGGGACCGGGCGACCCCGGAUGAGAACUUGCCAGCGCUACAGCCCCCUGGCACCGCCUCUGCUGCUGCCCUGAGGCCCUCCACUGGCCCCCAGACCCCACCCCGGCCCUCACCUCCGCAGCGCCUGCUCCAGGCCGUCGCGCUCCCGGGCCGCCUCCUCCAGGCAGGCCGACGCGCGUAUCAGAACAUCCUCGAAAGAGCUCAGCAGCUCGGGGCGCUCGCGCUGCAGCCUGGCCCAGAGUGUCCUCACAGCCCGCUGCCUGGAGGGCGGGCGGGCGGGAACUGAGGCUGGAGCUGGCAGAGGCGGGAAGCAGGCUUCCCUCCGCCAACAGCAAACCCUUAGGAGACUCCUUCGCCCCUGGGCAGGACAGGAGCACUUGCUGCGUGCAGGGCAUCCCUCCCGUGAGCGCUUUCGCCCCUGCCCGGCGUGCGUGGUCGGUGAGGUGUAUGUACCCUGGGCAGUGCCCGUAUGUGGCCCCGCGCCCGGCGCUGCGCCUCCUCCCUGCAGCCCUGGCUGCUGCCUCAUGAAAUGCAAAUUCUGCGGGAAAUCAUGCCGGGUCCCUCCCAGGGAAUCGCAGCUGACACUAGGCUGGGCCUGACCCGGCCUAGAGACCCUGUGCAGAACCCGCACUCGGGUGACAAGGGCAGACAGUAUGCGGGCAGAGAACAGCAGAGGGGGCAGUGGGAGCGGGGCCAGCGCCGACUCACUCGCCCAGGACCGGGGCCACCCCCAGCUGCUCCAGCGCCGUGGGGUAUGGCUCCUCCUCUUCCUCCUCCUCAUCCAGAGAUCCCCCCGUGCCCCGCACGUCGAGCCCGCCCGACUCGAAGGUCUCCUCGGGAGUCCUGCAGGGGUUCGCUCCCUGGGCCGACUCCACCCCCACAAACAUCCCUGCGGGCAUGGAGCGAGCGAUUACCAGGGCUGUGGGUCGCCACCCUGGCUGUGUCCCCGUUCACCCUCCCAACAAGUAUCCUGCCCUCUCUCA